AUUGACCUCUAGAAAGCUCCAUCUACCCUUCCUGGUGCCACCCGCCCAUCCAAGGAAUAGUCCCAAAAGGCUGUCCUCUCCCUGCUUUCUCCAAGUUGCGAGCCCACACGCGACGUGCAGAGCUCUCUCCUUUCCUUCCAGCCAGUGGCCCUCUUCGAACACCUGCCAGGUUUACAAGUCCCGGAGCGAGUUGCAGCGUCCCGGCCGCACCUCACUACCGACCUAAAGAUGCGCCUUUGCUAGGCGGCAGCGCGUGGAGAGACUGUCGCUGGUCGGCGGGGCCAGAGCGCACCAGGCUUCCGGGAGGAGGCUGGAGCGGGGAGGCGCCCGGGGUGAGACCGUGGCACCCUCAACAUCAUAAAGGACUCAGAUUCCUGCAUUCCCGACAUCAUAAACGACUCAGACGGAUGCGGAAACCGAGACGGCCUGGAUGGAAAACUCUUUCAAGGAAGACCCCAGGGCCCUGAACGGAAUUCCGGAUAUUUUCUCUAAAACGUACUACACCUGCCUUUUCCCACGUUAGUUAAUGGCAACUCCACCCUCCACACGUUCAGGCCAAAAACUCGACGCAGACUUUGAUCCACACAACUAUUCUCUUUCUUGGUCUGAAUUUUGGCAAACGACAAGCAAGGCAUAGAGAUCGCUUCAACUCGCUACCCGCGGCUCGCCCAGACGUUAGGGUUUUAGGCCGCCGUUAGACUUUGGCCCUGCAGGUCAAAAUCAGCUACUCUAGGCCUGUCUUCUCGGAGGCCAGUAGCAGCACCUGGUCCUCUCCGCGCGGCUUCUCCCGCCGGGUACGCAACCCUGCACCUCUUUCCUGUGACCUGCAGCGAAGCUCGGCGGGGGACCGGGUAUUCAACUGGCCAGGAGUUCUCGAGGCGCAGGUGCGGGUGUGCAGGGACGCGCGCGGUGAGUUUGCAGUUCCUGCGGGCUCCAGCAACAUCCCGGGUCAGUCCGAACUCCGAAGGCGCCAAGGCAGGGAGGGACCGGUAGGUGAAGGGCAGCCGCCCUCUUGCGCCCUGUUUCAGUCCUCCAGUCGCUGUUGAAUGGAGUUUCCGUCUCCAGUCUCAGCCAAAGCAGGCAAGGCGGACAACCUCGGCCUGGCAACCAGAAGUAUCAUUCCUUGAUUCAGGAUCAGGCUCAAGAGUUAACCCACCUACGGCAGAAGAUGAAGCUUGGGAGAGUGGCCUCUGCUCUUCUCAUCCAGCAUGUCAAGAACACACUAAAGACCUUUGAGGAGCUACUCCAGAGCAAUAACAUUGACCACUAUAUGGAGCAGCACUACUGCGAGCAGCUGGCCAAAGGAAGCCAGCUGGCAGAGAGCCUUGCCAGAAAAUUCAGCACAGGGCAAAGCAAGUGGAGAUGAUGACCUUCAUGGUGGGCUCAGGAAAGCCUGCCAGGCAAGCUCUCUAAAGACUCAACCCAAGAUCUGAGAAAAUUCAGAGUAUCCUGGAAUCAAGGCAAGCAUCAGAUGACUGUACAAGUAAGAAGAAUCAAGUAGGACAGGUGUCUUCGACUCUCAGUAUCUUGAGGAAGAUGCAUAAUAUGAGUAAAGUGACAGAAGUCCUAGAGACCAAGUGGGAUGCCCAGUCCCAGACUCAGCCCCAGAUCUGGUGCAGCAACCACACCCGGUCUACCCCACAUCACUCCCUGAGCAGCACGUCUCCACAGCUUGACAAGGAGGAAGUGCAUCCUUCAGUGACUGCAGUCAAUGCCAGCCCUGCCAUUUCUGCUGAUUCAGCUGCUUUGCCCAGCAACCAAGGAACCAGGUCUGCCCAGCCCUUCCAUCCUUCGAGCGGCACUGGCCCAGCAGAGCAGGACACUAGAACACGGUAGCAGUGGCCCAUGGGAAGAGAUGAGGCCUCAAAAAAUGAAUGCAUCUGGAGACCUAGCCUCCUUCUCCUCUUUGUACCAACCCAACUCCGAAACCUCUGGUAAAACACAAAGGAGCACUUAGUGAAAUCGAGCCCAUUGGUAGGAAUGACACAUUCCUUUCCUGGCCAGAGGAUUUUUUGGUUCCUCUGUUAGAACCUGGUUCAUAAAAAAUGACAGGACAAUAUGUAGAUCAGCCAGACAGUGAGAACCAGCUCAGUGCUUGUUCUUUGAAAGUGCCUUCUCCUAGCCACCCUACCUAGGAACUUACUCUGGGCAGGAGAGUAGGAGAAGUCAGGGACAUUCUGAGGUGCUCUACAAGGAGGAUAAGUUACCUCACACUUAAAUGUUGCCUUCUCUCUGUGCUACAACCUUCUUAGGCCUAGAUUAAGACUGUCCUGGAAUGCUAAGCUCAGAUUUCCAUGGGGAAGGUCUUCCUUAGGUCAGGAGCUACUGUCGGAUGGGAAACUAUUUCUACAGAGUCACCCAGCCCUACACACUCUUUCCACUCUUUCACACACAUCUUUCACACACACUGUGCAUACAACCACGUGCCAAUCCUGCCCCCAUAAACAUUGCUUUUGGAUUUGGAGCCAAACAUCCUGGCACCCGGCAGCUAGGAGUGCAGCUAUUUAGAGGAAUGGCUUGAAGCAGCUCCAUUUCUGUGUCCCAGGUAGUGUAACAAUAAGACAUUUUAAAUUCUCAGAGAAAAACCUGACCCUACGCAAAAUCUCCCAGUGGGUGAAGCCUAUUCUCAGCCUCCUCUCUCUGUGCAUCUUUUUCCUUCCUUGGAGAUUGUUCCCUUCUCUCCUGUUCCCCCUCUUCAGAUCCUGAUACCUUCCCAAGCUCUUCCAUGUUCCUCUUUGCCAAAACUGGUUAAAGGAGAACAUUCACUAUCACUCAUUAUUCACAGCCUGGUUUAAUUUCAUAUGCACUUACCUUGGUCUUUCUCUCUGUGAGUGAGUGAAAUCUCAAAGGCUGUUGAGUCGGGAUCAUCAUCGGGGAGAGGGAUGAGGUAGAGAGGGAGAUUCUCUGGAUUGUUUUCCAUACCAAGGAGGUAGACAGCCUUUCCCAUUACUAGGCCAGUUCUGCCUAGAGGCCUUUAGCAGUUUCUCACCCUGUGUCCAUCUCCCUUAGAUGUACUUGGUGGUCUCUGUCUGGGAGGAGGCCUGUGGUGUUUCCUUACAGGGGGCCACCCUGUGAUUGAAAGCCCAGGACUUUUAAGUAAAGUUGCCUGGUGCUUCCUGAAUGCCCAGGAGAGAGGAAGAAGCUGACAGAAGGAUAGAGAUAGGUAGGGAUCUUGCAGAGAGAUGCCAGGCAGGCCCCACAGCUGCCCAGGGAUGAUCAGGCUUCCCUACCUCCUACCUCUCCUAUGUCUUGGUGGUUUGCAGUAGGGGCUGACCUGCUGGAAAAGAAUCUUGCUGAGAUACAGAACCUGCGCCAGCGCCUGGAGGAGUCCAUCAGUCUCAAUGACCGCCUGAGGGAGAGGCUGGAGCAUGUGCUUAGCAAUGGUGACCAAGGAAAAGGUAGAAAGGCAGAAAUUUUAUGUUUCUGUCCACGUCUAAGGAGUCUCAAAAGGGCACAUAGCUUCUUGGGGCAGAGUUUUACCGGUUUAAAGCACAUUGGUGUGCAUGAUUUCACUUGUUCCUUACAAUUAGCCCAGAUAGGGAAGCAGAAGGGUACUAUUGCUCCCACUGAGUGGUUUGCCCCAAGCAGGGAUAGGUCUAAUUCUCAGGACUAUCUGAAGUGAUGUCAUUCUUAUAUGUCCUUAUACUGCCUGGUGCUGUUCUUGGGCUUGUGGCCUGACUGGCGAGUGGUAGCACCAAGGUUUCCAUGGUGCCCACUUCAGCAGAAUGAGAGCAACGUUCCACCUUUAUGCCAUUACUACAUGCCUUUGAUAUCACCUGGCUCUUCUCUUGUGCUAAUGACCCUUAUUUCAACACUCUUCACCCUGGAUGCUCUCACUUGGAGACCAGUUCUUCCCCAUCCCUUCUUCUCUCGUAUUAAAGCCAGAAGAAUGAUGACCUACAACAUCAUAACUGAAGCCAAUUAGUGGGAAAGACCCUGAUCCAUACCUGAAGCCACUGCACAUGAGAGUGUGUGGCCUACUCUGGUGUGCCCAGCAAAACCUGAGCCUGAGCCAUAUUGCACUGCUAUCCCAGUGCAUGAGGUCCGCAGGUUUUCAGAUUAGCUGAGACUAAAACUUUAAUGGAUGCAGGAAAGUACAUCUUUGAAAGUAUCUGUUACCUAAAGGUAUGACUUGUCUGGGUUGUUUUUAUUCCCUGUGAAGUAUCUACCUCCAUCUUCCAUGGGUAGGACCUGUAGUCCACACCCUAGUUGUGCAACAGGAAAAGGGCUCAGGGAAGCAAACUGGAGUUUUCAGGCUUCCAGAAGGAAAAAAUCAAAGCUGAAGUCACUUCCAUAUUUCUUCCUUUCUGCAGCAAUGCCCAGUUGUAGAAGCAAAGAGAAGUAAGCAGCACAAAAGUUGACCAGAUCCACACAGCCUAAAACUAUAAUAGCUUAUUCCCAAUCUAGAUAAGGCUGCUUCUUAAAAGAUCCCACCUACAUGUUCGCAGACUCCUGGCUCCAGGAGUAAAUAUCUCUGGAAAAUCUACAUGUCAUGUUUAAGUUCCUUUCCCAAUCUUUGCAGAUAAUCAGAGAGUCACUAGCUGUCAACUAGAAAGCUUGGUGUCUCUCUUCCUGUCUUUCCCACUUUCACCUGGGUACGGAAUAGGAGAGAAGAAAUGUAAGUUUUUGUUUGGUACAAUCAAUGAAUCUCCUAAAUCCCUCCAGACUUCAUUGCAGCCCUGUCUCUCCCUCCCUAGGUACUGCACAGUCCACUGUAGCCCCUCAUUCAUAUACUCAGAGUCACUCUUCUGGCUGUGGCGAGGACAUCCUGUGACAUGAUGCCUAGAGAGUCUGGAAGAAUGUUCUCCAGAACUUUUCUAGCCCUAUCCAACAGAAUUCUUGGGUGGGAACUUGGAGGCAUUGGAUAUUAUCUUUAAAUGAAGAGAUCAAAUUAAUAAAUUAUUUUUA
Molecule: RNA transcript, 4908 nt
Organism: Homo sapiens (human)
Lineage: Eukaryota; Metazoa; Chordata; Mammalia; Primates; Hominidae
Gene: PDE4DIPP7
Gene name: PDE4DIP pseudogene 7
Exons: 7
Source: RefSeq, a predicted model, not a curated record